RNAcentral lists this ribosomal RNA (468 nucleotides) under uncultured bacterium. RNAcentral describes it as "partial 16S ribosomal RNA". It matches the Rfam family "Bacterial small subunit ribosomal RNA", at positions 28 to 507 of the family's 1533-position model. The record is from RNAcentral.
GACGAACGCUGGCGGCGUGCUUAACACAUGCAAGUCGAACGGAAAGGCCCUGCUUUUGUGGGGUGCUCGAGUAGCGAACGGGUGAGUAACACGUGAGUAACCUGCCCUUGACUUUGGGAUAACUUCAGGAAACUGGGGCUAAUACCGGAUAGGAGCUCCUGCUGCAUGGUGGGGGUUGGAAAGUUUCGGCGGUUGGGGCUGGACUCGCGGGUUAUCAGCUUGUUGGUGGGGUAGUGGCUUACCCAGGGUUUGACGGGUAGCCGGCCUGAGAGGGUGACCGGCCACAUGGGGACUGAGAUACGGCCCAGAGUCCUACGGGAGGCAGCAGUGGGGAAUAUUGCACAAUGGGCGGAAGUCGGAGGCAGCGACGCCGCGUGCGGGAUGACGGCCUUCGGGUUGUAAACCGCUUUAGCCUGUGACGAAGCGUGAGUGACGGUAAUGGGUAAAGAAGCACCGGCUAACUACGUG